CCUACGGGAGGCAGCAGUGAGGAAUAUUGGUCAAUGGACGAGAGUCUGAACCAGCCAAGUAGCGUGAAGGAUGACUGCCCUAUGGGUUGUAAACUUCUUUUAUAUGGGAAUAAAAUGUUCCACGUGUGGGUUUUUGUAUGUACCAUAUGAAUAAGGAUCGGCUAACUCCGUGCCAGCAGCCGCGGUAAUACGGAGGAUCCGAGCGUUAUCCGGAUUUAUUGGGUUUACAGGGUGCGUAGGUUGAUUGUUAAGUCAGUUGUGAAAGUUUGCGGCUCAACCGUAAAAUUGCAGUUGAAACUGGCAGUCUUGAGUACAGUAGAGGUGGGCGGAAUUCGUGGUGUAGCGGUGAAAUGCUUAGAUAUCACGAAGAACUCCGAUUGCGAAGGCAGCUCACUGGACUGCAACUGACACUGAGGCUCGAAAGUGUGGGUAUCAAACAGGAUUAGAUACCCUUGUAGUC
This 460-nucleotide ribosomal RNA is filed under the name uncultured bacterium. RNAcentral's name for it is "partial 16S ribosomal RNA". It matches the Rfam family "Bacterial small subunit ribosomal RNA", at positions 338 to 795 of the family's 1533-position model. The record is from RNAcentral.